Molecule: ribosomal RNA, 401 nt
Filed under: uncultured bacterium
Lineage: Bacteria
Description: bacterial SSU rRNA
Rfam family: Bacterial small subunit ribosomal RNA
Source: RNAcentral
GGGGAAUAUUGCACAAUGGGGGAAACCCUGAUGCAGCAACGCCGCGUGAAGGAUGAAGGUUUUCGGAUCGUAAACUUCUUUGAUGAGGGACGAAUAAUGACGGUACCUCAAGAACAAGCCACGGCUAACUACGUGCCAGCAGCCGCGGUAAUACGUAGGUGGCGAGCGUUGUCCGGAUUUACUGGGUGUAAAGGGCGUGUAGGCGGGAAUGUAAGUCAGAUGUGAAACUCCGGGGCUCAACCUCGGAACUGCAUCUGAAACUAUGUUUCUUGAGUGCUGGAGAGGAAAGCGGAAUUCCUAGUGUAGCGGUGAAAUGCGUAGAUAUUAGGAGGAACACCAGUGGCGAAGGCGGCUUUCUGGACGGUAACUGACGCUGAGGCGCGAAAGCGUGGGGAGCAAAC